UUAGAUACCCUAUUAUACCAGUAAAAACCUGAAUCAUUAAUAGAUAUAUUCUUUAAAUUUGAAGAAUUUGGCGGUAAUUUAGUCUUGUUAGAGGAACCUGUUUUUGAAUCGAUAAACCACGUUAAAUCUUGCUUGUUUUAUUAGUUUAUAUACCGUCAUUAUCAGAUGAUUUUCAAAGAAGUAAUCAUUAAAAUUUAGUAGUUAAAUUGAUAAAUUAAAUUAGAUCAAGGUGUAGCCUAUAAACAAGCUAAAAUGGGUUACAAUAAAAUGUAUUUAUUAUGAAUUAGUCGUAGGAAGAGUACUAUGAAGGUGAAUUUAAUUGUAAUAGGAGUUUAAUAAGCUCAUGUGAUAUAAGCUCUAAAUUAUGUACAUAUCGCCCGUC
RNAcentral lists this ribosomal RNA (382 nucleotides) under Actaeodes mutatus. RNAcentral describes it as "partial 12S ribosomal RNA". Lineage: Eukaryota; Metazoa; Arthropoda; Malacostraca; Decapoda; Xanthidae. The record is from RNAcentral.